Lotus japonicus is the source of this 485-nucleotide long non-coding RNA. RefSeq lists it as uncharacterized. The transcript has 3 exons. The record is from RefSeq and is a predicted model, not a curated record. NCBI's taxonomy places the organism in Eukaryota, Viridiplantae, Streptophyta, Magnoliopsida, Fabales, Fabaceae.
AGGGUAAAAAGGUUUCAAAGUAAGGUAACUGCUUGGAGAAAAGAGCUUUGCUGGAAGUGUUAGGCAGGAGGUAUCUUUGGAGUUAAUAUAUUGAUUAUCAAGGGAAAGGAUGAGCUUAAUCCAGUUCCCUCUCCCAUGUAGGAUUUAUUAUCUAUGGGUUGUGAAAGUCCAAAGCAAGCAGAGACCAGAAUGUGGUAAAAUGUGGAAAGGAUGAGCUUAAUGGAUAUUGAUUAAAGGAAUCCUACAUAAUCCUCAUUGGAUAUUUUACUGACUGGUUGGAUUAGGUGUAUUCAACUCUAAGCCUUUUUGCAAGGUUGUAGUGAAAUUCAAGUACAUAUGAAAUGAAAUAUUUUGAUCUUAUAUUCAUGUAUUGACAACUUUGCCUGAUUUGUGUGUAGAUUUUUUCACCUAUUUACUUUAGCUUACCCUACUGAAUUCUCCAUAUAAAUUUUUUUUAUUCAAAGCAUUAGGAGUUAUUUUAGCAA